This 65-nucleotide transfer RNA is filed under the name Myrmecophilus kubotai. Its description in RNAcentral is "tRNA-Glu". The record is from RNAcentral. Lineage: Eukaryota; Metazoa; Arthropoda; Insecta; Orthoptera; Myrmecophilidae.
CUUUAUAUAGUUUAAAUUAAAACAAUACAUUUUCAUUGUAAUGAUAAUUAAAAGAUUUAUAAAUG